UACGAAGGGGGCUAGCGUUGCUCGGAAUUACUGGGCGUAAAGGGCGCGUAGGCGGAUGUUUAAGUCGGGGGUGAAAGCCCGGGGCUCAACCCCGGAAUUGCCUUCGAUACUGGACAUCUUGAGUACGGGAGAGGUGAGUGGAACUCCGAGUGUAGAGGUGAAAUUCGUAGAUAUUCGGAAGAACACCAGUGGCGAAGGCGACUCACUGGCCCGUUACUGACGCUGAGGCGCGAAAGCGUGGGGAGCAAACAGG
Molecule: ribosomal RNA, 253 nt
Filed under: uncultured bacterium
Lineage: Bacteria
Description: partial 16S ribosomal RNA
Rfam family: Bacterial small subunit ribosomal RNA
Source: RNAcentral